GACGAACGCUGGCGGCGUGCUUAACACAUGCAAGUCGAACGGAAAGGCCCUGCUUUUGUGGGGUUCUCGAGUGGCGAACGGGUGAGUAACACGUGAGUAACCUGCCCUUGACUUUGGGAUAACUUCAGGAAACUGGGGCUAAUACCGGAUAGGAGCUCCUGCUGCAUGGUGUGGGUUGGAAAGAUUCGGCGGUUGGGGAUGGACUCGCGGGUUAUCAGCUUGUUUGGGGGGUAGUGGUUGACCAGGGCUUUGACGGGUAGGCGGCCUGGGAGGGUGACCGGGCACAUGGGGCCUGCGAUACGGCCCAGACUCCUACGUGAGGCAGCAGUGGGGAAUAUUGCACAAUGGGCGGAAGCCUGAUGCAGCAACGCCGCGUGCGGGAUGCUGGCCUUCGGGUUGUAAACCGCUUUCGCCUGAGACGAAGCGUGCGUGACGGUAAUGGGUAAAGAAGCACCGGCUAACUACGUG
RNAcentral lists this ribosomal RNA (468 nucleotides) under uncultured bacterium. RNAcentral's name for it is "partial 16S ribosomal RNA". It matches the Rfam family "Bacterial small subunit ribosomal RNA", at positions 28 to 507 of the family's 1533-position model. The record is from RNAcentral.